UUGACCUCGGAUCAGGUAGGAAUACCCGCUGAACUUAAGCAUAUCAAUAAGCGGAGGAAAAGAAACCAACAGGGAUUGCCCUAGUAACGGCGAGUGAAGCGGCAACAGCUCAAAUUUGAAAUCUGGCUCUCGGGCCCGAGUUGUAAUUUGUAGAGGAUACUUUUGAUGCGGUGCCUUCCGAGUUCCCUGGAACGGGACGCCAUAGAGGGUGAGAGCCCCGUCUGGUUGGAUGCCAAAUCUCUGUAAAGUUCCUUCGACGAGUCGAGUAGUUUGGGAAUGCUGCUCUAAAUGGGAGGUAUAUGUCUUCUAAAGCUAAAUACCGGCCAGAGACCGAUAGCGCACAAGUAGAGUGAUCGAAAGAUGAAAAGCACUUUGAAAAGAGAGUUAAAAAGUACGUGAAAUUGUUGAAAGGGAAGCGUUUAUGACCAGACUUGGGCUUGGUUAAUCAUCUGGGGUUCUCCCCAGUGCACUUUUCCAGUCCAGGCCAGCAUCAGUUUUCCCCGGGGGAUAAAGACUUCGGGAAUGUGGCUCUCUUCGGGGAGUGUUAUAGCCCGUUGUGUAAUACCCUGGGGGGGACUGAGGUUCGCGCAUCUGCAAGGAUGC
Molecule: ribosomal RNA, 603 nt
Filed under: Fusarium napiforme
Lineage: Eukaryota; Fungi; Ascomycota; Sordariomycetes; Hypocreales; Nectriaceae
Also listed under: 3 other names
Description: eukaryotic LSU rRNA
Rfam family: Eukaryotic large subunit ribosomal RNA
Source: RNAcentral